UACGAAGGGGGCUAGCGUUGUUCGGAAUCACUGGGCGUAAAGGGUGCGUAGGCCGCACGGUAAGUCAGAGGUGAAAUCCCGGAGCUCAACUUCGGAAUUGCCUCCGAUACUGCCGUGCUUGAGGACUGGAGAGGAGAUUGGAAUUCACAGUGGAGCAGUGAAAUGCGUAGAUAUUGUGAGGAACACUAGUGGCGAAGGCGAAUCUCUGGACAGUUCCUGACGCUGAGGCACGAAGGCCAGGGGAGCAAACGGG
RNAcentral lists this ribosomal RNA (253 nucleotides) under uncultured bacterium. RNAcentral's name for it is "partial 16S ribosomal RNA". It matches the Rfam family "Bacterial small subunit ribosomal RNA", at positions 524 to 776 of the family's 1533-position model. The record is from RNAcentral.